UGGGGAAUAUUGCACAAUGGGCGAAAGCCUGAUGCAGCAACGCCGCGUGCGGGAUGACGGCCUUCGGGUUGUAAACCGCUUUCAGCAGGGACGAAGGUUUUCUGACGGUACCUGCAGAAGAAGCACCGGCUAACUACGUGCCAGCAGCCGCGGUGAUACGUAGGGUGCGAGCGUUGUCCGGAAUUAUUGGGCGUAAAGAGCUUGUAGGCGGUCCGUUGCGUCGGAAGUGAAAACUCAGGGCUUAACCCUGAGCCUGCUUUCGAUACGGGCGGACUUGAGGGAUGUAGGGGAGAACGGAAUUCCUGGUGGAGCGGUGGAAUGCGCAGAUAUCAGGAGGAACACCAGUGGCGAAGGCGGUUCUCUGGACAUUUCCUGACGCUGAGAAGCGAAAGCGUGGGGAGCAAACAGGCUUAGAUACCCUGGUAGUCCACGCCGUAAACGGUGGGCACUAGGUGUGGGACCCAUUCCACGGGUUCCGUGCCGUAGCUAACGCAUUAAGUGCCCCGCCUGGGGAGUACGGCCGCAAGGCUAAAACUUAAAUGAAUUGACGGGGUCAUGAGCUG
This 563-nucleotide ribosomal RNA is filed under the name uncultured bacterium. Its description in RNAcentral is "partial 16S ribosomal RNA". It matches the Rfam family "Bacterial small subunit ribosomal RNA", at positions 355 to 928 of the family's 1533-position model. The record is from RNAcentral.